CACUCAUUCAAAGAGUGCGUAAUAGCUCACUGGUCGAGUGAUCCUGCGCCGAAGAUUUCCGGGGCUAAAACUUACUACCGAAGCUACGGCAUCAGUAAUGAUGGGUAGGGGAGCUUCCCAUACGGGUUGAAGCAUGACCGUAAGGACAUGUGGACAGUAUGGGGGUGAGAAUGUUGGCAUGAGUAGCGAGAUGUGGGUGAGAAUCCCACAGGCCGUAAACCCAAGGUUUCCAGGGGAAGGUUCGUCCGCCCUGGGUUAGUCGGGACCUAAGCUGAGGCCGAAAGGCGUAGGUGAUGGACAACAGGUUGAUAUUCCUGUACUACCGAUAACCGUUUGAGAGAAGGGAUGACACAGUAGGAUAAGCUAAGCACACUGUUGGUUAUGUGUGCCCAAGCAUUGAGGCAGUCAAAGUAGG
Molecule: ribosomal RNA, 415 nt
Filed under: Clostridioides difficile
Lineage: Bacteria; Bacillati; Bacillota; Clostridia; Peptostreptococcales; Peptostreptococcaceae
Description: bacterial LSU rRNA
Rfam family: Bacterial large subunit ribosomal RNA
Source: RNAcentral